AACCUUCUGUAUCCGCGAGAUCCCAUCUUGGAGCCUUCGCCGGCGCUUCGCCGGAGGGGGAGUCAACCACGGAGGGCUUCUACAUCAACACCAUAGCCCCUCCGAUGAGUUGUGAGUAGUUUACCACAGACCUUCGGGUCCAUAGUUAUUAGCUAGAUGGCUUCUUCUCUCUUUUUGGAUCUCAAUACAAUGUUCUCCCCCU
This 202-nucleotide ribosomal RNA is filed under the name Triticum aestivum (bread wheat). RNAcentral's name for it is "partial small subunit ribosomal RNA". Lineage: Eukaryota; Viridiplantae; Streptophyta; Magnoliopsida; Poales; Poaceae. The record is from RNAcentral.